UCCGGUGUAUUGAAAAUAAAAUUAUAAUAUAUGACUAGUAAAAGAAGUUGAGGAUCUCAUAGACUUUUCAAAGAUCUUGAUCUAAUGCAAGAGUGGGACAUAUUUUUAAUGUAGGUGUGGAAUUGCAGGUUAUCUUUGUCUUUAAUUUGUUGACUUCACAUGUCUUGCCAUUGUUACUUUAAAUACUGUCACUAUCUCAACAAAGAAAUUAAUAUAGGGCGUGGGCUACAAAUGUUGUUUUUCUUUAGGGUUUUGCAUGCAUCCAUAACACGAAAAGGAUGCAGUUUCAUGUGUUUUAAUUACUUCAAUGAAAAUGCGUGAUUGAUUUUUGAAUGCCUACCACCGUACAUGCAUAAUUGCAUGUAAUUUCUUCUUCUUUACGACAAGACGAGAGAGAUAUUAACAUGUUUGUAAUUUAAAAAUGUUGACAAAACUAUGCUGGUUUUUCCUCCCGAAAAUAAUUGUAGCGCUCCGCCAGUGACUGGAGGAAAGGGGGUGACGUGUAUGGACCAAUCAAACCUGCUAGUCUUUAGUCUAGUGAUAUUUUUUUCACCAAAUUUAAAAAUGUCUCAAAUUCCAAUUUUUUGAAUCAACAAAGGCAUAACUUCAAACUGCACUUAAACAUCAGCCCAAUGGUUUGAUGACUGUCACGUUUAUAUGGGCCUUGCCUGAAUGCUAUGUCUUCCCAUCCUUUUAAGAAGCCCAAUUAUUUUUCUUCAAAAGGUCAAUUAAUUAAUUAAUUAAUUUGGAAAGGGAUCCUCUUCGGAUCUCUUCCAUCAAAUUCACCUAAUCAAUCAAUCCGAGUUCUUGAAAUUGGAUCCAACAACUACAAACAAAAAGUUUAUUUAAAAGUUAUAAUAAUUUUAAGGGUAAAUUACACUUUCAUACCUCAGGUUUGUGAUCUAUUUAAAUUCCUUAUAAUAUCUU
This 927-nucleotide long non-coding RNA is filed under the name Malus domestica (apple). RNAcentral describes it as "long non-coding RNA (MDOM_LNC005005)". The record is from RNAcentral. Lineage: Eukaryota; Viridiplantae; Streptophyta; Magnoliopsida; Rosales; Rosaceae.